RNAcentral lists this transfer RNA (69 nucleotides) under Penaeus indicus. RNAcentral's name for it is "tRNA-Trp". Lineage: Eukaryota; Metazoa; Arthropoda; Malacostraca; Decapoda; Penaeidae. The record is from RNAcentral.
AAAGCUUUAAGUUAUUUAAACUUAUAGCCUUCAAAGCUAUUAAAAGGAGUAAAAACCUCCUAAGCUUUA